Molecule: small RNA, 78 nt
Filed under: Arabidopsis thaliana (thale cress)
Lineage: Eukaryota; Viridiplantae; Streptophyta; Magnoliopsida; Brassicales; Brassicaceae
Description: ATSL108720
Source: RNAcentral
UCUUGUUUACAAAAGUAAUAAAAUGCGGUUGGAUAUGAACAUUUCGUGCUAAAUAAUCUGUUUUAACAUUUUAACUUC